UGGGGAAUAUUGGACAAUGGGGGCAACCCUGAUCCAGCAAUGCCGCGUGUGUGAAGAAGGCCUGCGGGUUGUAAAGCACUUUUGGCGGGGAUGAAAAGCACUGGAUUAAUAACCCAGUGUGUUGACCUAACCUGCAGAAGAAGCACCGGCUAACUACGUGCCAGCAGCCGCGGUAAUACGUAGGGUGCAGGCGUUAAUCGGAAUUACUGGGCGUAAAGGGUGCGCAGGCGGUUUGUUAAGACAGGUGUGAAAUCCCCGGGCUUAACCUGGGAAUUGCGCUUGUAACUGGCAGGCUAGAGUGUGGCAGAGGGGGGUGGAAUUCCACGUGUAGCAGUGAAAUGCGUAGAGAUCUGGAGGAACACCGAUGGCGAAGGCAGCCCCCUGGGCUAACACUGACGCUCAUGCACGAAAGCGUGGGGAGCAAACAGGAUUAGAUACCCCUGUAGUCCCUGAGCGGGCUGGCAAGGCGCAU
RNAcentral lists this ribosomal RNA (472 nucleotides) under uncultured bacterium. Its description in RNAcentral is "bacterial SSU rRNA". It matches the Rfam family "Bacterial small subunit ribosomal RNA", at positions 355 to 825 of the family's 1533-position model. The record is from RNAcentral.